CGGCGGUGCGCCGCGCAUGCGCCGGCCCAGCCGGCGGGCUCCUGGUGGUCGCGUUGCCUGUUGGAGUCAGUCUGUGAUCCAGGACCCCCUCCCUGGGCAGUGUGAGAACGGGCAGGGACACAGCCCCUGAUGGGACCGCAGAGCCUGGAGCCUUCCCUUCCUUCUGCUGCUCCUGUCCUCGCCCCGUCUCCCAUCACCAACGCUCCAUCUGCGUCCCCCAAAGCAACCAGGCUCCGGCAGCAGCCCUCCUGCAAGCCCGGGGCAAGGAAACAAGCAUUUCUUAUUAUCGGGACAACUGACGUUAUUUCAGCCCAUCACUAAGACUUGUGGCAGAACAGGAAGAAAGAAUGAGACAAAGCUGCAAUUUCCCAGCAAGCACUUCUUCUCAGAAACGGGGAGGAGUGGAUACACUAAUUCUGAAAAGCCUGACUAAUAAUUCUGGAAAUCAAUUCCAUCUACCCCUUCGGGGGCAGGUAGAGCAGAAGCAGCAGUGCUGCAGCCUGCCCCACACUGCCGUGACCUGCCGGCAGGUCUCCAAGCCACCUGGAAGUAGAGACAGGAGAACAGAUUACGUGCCACGUCCCUCAGCUGCUUCACUGAGGUUACCAGCAGAAUUGCAGAUAGCGCCGGAUCGGGAUCUUUGGAAGGUGGUUAUCUGUCCCCAGAGAACUAAGCUAACUAUGAGGUAGCUUUGUGUGGAGCAUUAAACAACUGUUAGGUGGUAACAACUUUUUGUCACUGACGUCAUCAGCCAGAUCGGAGCAGGCGAUAACCCUCGUAGGCCUCCAUCUUUCUACAUAUCUACCAAGUCUCCUCUUCCACUCCAGCUUCUGAAGAAAUGUUGUUUUAAUAAAAGUUCAUGUGUUUCUAUAAAGGGUGUGUACAUACUCUAUCUGGCCAAAUAUUUUGCACCUCCUUCAGUUAGCCCCUUAGCAGAUAAGGGUUUGCAAGCUUUAUCAGAUGGUAAAGUUACACCAUUAAUCUUAGUUUGUAUAUUCAACCUCAUGCCUGGUAAUAUGGUCCUUACAUCUUUAGUGAAAAAAUGUUGCAUGUCUGCCAAUGAAAACAUACAAUAUUUUUCUUGCUAAAACAGGGAUAUUACCUCCAAAAUUGUUGAUAAAUGCAUAUGCAAAAGCAGAGUAGUCCAAUACCAAGCUGCUAGAACUGUGAUCAUUCCAACAUAAUACUUGAAUAGGCUCGAUCAUCUAUUCUUGCCAAUUCAACAAUUAUAUUCUUAUU
Calidris pugnax (ruff) is the source of this 1239-nucleotide long non-coding RNA. RefSeq lists it as uncharacterized. NCBI's taxonomy places the organism in Eukaryota, Metazoa, Chordata, Aves, Charadriiformes, Scolopacidae. The transcript is spliced from 3 exons. The record is from RefSeq and is a predicted model, not a curated record.